This is a long non-coding RNA of Ictalurus punctatus (channel catfish), 421 nucleotides long. The record is from Ensembl. Lineage: Eukaryota; Metazoa; Chordata; Actinopteri; Siluriformes; Ictaluridae.
AACGAUGAAACUCCGCGUGCGCGUGCUCGGGAAAUGCAGCGUAAAGUCAUUUCUGCAGGUAAACUCUUGAGUCUGACUCUGCGCAUCUUCGCCAAAGUUUAUCUUCAAUUAAUCCAUCGGGUCACAGGGAAACCUGGAGCCUAUCCCAGGGAGCAUCGGGCACAAGGCGGGGUACACCCUGGACAGGGUGCCAGUCCAUCACAGGCACAAUCACAGGCACAAUCACAUACACAUUCACAACACUUGUCUUUGGACUGGCGGAGGAAACCGGAGUACCCAGAGGAAACCCCCGCAGCACGGGGAUAACAUGCAAACUCCACACACAGGGCCAUGGUGGGAAUCGAACCCCCAACCCUGGAGGUGUGAGAUAUAUUGCAGUCUGUUUGCCUCCUUCAGCCUUCAGAUGCUCUGUGCAUGUAAA